This is a small nuclear RNA of Sorex fumeus (smoky shrew), 102 nucleotides long. Lineage: Eukaryota; Metazoa; Chordata; Mammalia; Eulipotyphla; Soricidae. The record is from RefSeq and is a predicted model, not a curated record.
UUGCAUUUUUGCAGCAAAUAUAGUAAAAUUGGAAGAGUUCAGAGAGGAUUAACAUGACUCCUGAGAAAAGAUGCAUGCAAUUUUGAAUUGUCCCAUAUUUUC